RNAcentral lists this long non-coding RNA (9243 nucleotides) under Triticum aestivum (bread wheat). RNAcentral's name for it is "long non-coding RNA (TAES_LNC006042)". Lineage: Eukaryota; Viridiplantae; Streptophyta; Magnoliopsida; Poales; Poaceae. The record is from RNAcentral.
UGACAUUUAUCGAGUUUAUUAACUCCAAAUGAAGUGAACUGGGCAUAAUUCUCUAGAUGCGGUACAUAGUGCUAUAUGUUUCCUUGCCUCACCAACAAAAUGUACUAAUAUGUCUCUUGUGACACGAUAGGUCGAUUCUUCGCCUUCGAGAAACCUGUAGUACUUGUAUACCUUCAUGUUUGAGCACUCGAGCAGUACUUCAAAAUGGAGUAGCUUAAUUCACUGAAUUUGGUUGUAGUACUAGUUGAUUCACUGAGAAGAUUCAGUAAUGAGUUGAUUCACUAAGAAGACUCAGUUUUUUGUGCUGGCUUCUUUCCAUUGUGGAGCUCACUGUGUGACAAGUCUGUUCAUUCCUCUAGAUGUCCUGUCACUUGGCAUAAGUAAUUAAGUAGGAAUAGUUUCAGGUGAAUCGUAGCUUUGUUAUUGCUUCAUUUCAUCUGAUACAUGCAUGAAAUUGAACUACACUUGAUGCAGCGCCAUUAUGGUCCCUGAAAUUAGCUUAUGUUAUUGAAUUUUUUAUUUCCUCGCCUGAGAACAACCUGUUGGGUUUCGUAGUAAUUUCAAAAAAAUUCCUACGCACACGCAAGAUCAUGUGAUGCAUAGCAACGAGAGGGAAGAUUAUUGUCUACGUACCCACGCAGACCGACUGCGGAAGCGUUGACACAACGUAGAGGAAGUAGUCGUACGUCUUCACGAUCCAACCGAUCAAGCACCGAAACUACGGCACCUCCGAGUUCGAGCACACGUUCAGCUCGAUGACGAUCCCCGGACUCCGAUCCAGCAAAGUGUCGGGGAAGAGUUCCGUCAGCACGACGACGUGGUGGCGAUCUUGAUGUACUACAGUAGCAGGGCUUCGCCUAAACUCCGCUACAGUAUUAUCGAGGAUUAUGGUGGCUGGGGGCACCGCACACGGCUAAGGAAUAGAUCACGUGAAUCAACUUGUGUGUUUCUGGGGUGCCUCUGCCUCAGUAUAUAAAGGAUUAGAGGGGGGAGGCUGGCCGGCCACAGGAGGCGCGCCAGGAGAGUCCUACUCCCUCUGGGAGUAGGAUUCCCCCCCAAUCCUAGUUGGAAUAGGACUCCUUGAGGGGGGAAAGAGAGAGAGGGGGCCGGCCACCUCUCCUAGUCCUAAUAGGACUAGGGGGAGGGGGAGGCGCAUAGCCACCUUGGGCUGCCCCUUUCUCCUUUCCACUAAAGCCCACUAAGGCCCAUAUAGCUCUCGGGGGGUUCCGGUAACCUCCCGGUACUCCGGUAAAAUCCCGAUUUCACCCGGAACACUUCCGAUGUCCAAACAUAGGCUUCCAAUGUAUCAAUCUUUACAUCUCGACCAUUUCGAGACUCCUCAUCAUGUCCGUGAUCACAUCCGGGACUCCGAACAACCUUCGGUACAUCAAAAUGCAUAAACUCAUAAUAUAACUGUCAUCGUAACCUUAAGCGUGUGGACCCUACGGGUUCGAGAACAAUGUAGACAUGACCGAGACACGUCUCCGGUUAAUAACCAAUAGCAGGAUCUGGAUGCCCAUAUUGGCUCCUACAUAUUCUACGAAGAUCUUUAUCGGUCAGACCGCAUAACAACAUACGUUGUUCCCUUUGUCAUCGGUAUGUUACUUGCCCGAGAUUCGAUCGUCGGUAUUCCAAUACCUAGUUCAAUCUCGUUGCCAGCAAGUCUCUUUACUCGUUCUGUAAUACAUCAUCCCGCAACUAACUCAUUAGUUGCAAUGCUUGCAAGGCUUAUGUGAUGUGCAUUACCGAGAGGUCCCAGAGAUACCUCUCCGACAAUCGGAGUGACAAAACCUAAUCUUGAAAUACGCCAACCCAACAUGUACCUUUGGAGACACCUGUAGUACUCCUUUAUAAUCACCCAGUUACGUUGUGACGUUUGGUAGUACCCAAAGUGUUCCUCCGAUAAACGGGAGUUGCAUAAUCUCAUAGUUAUAGGAACAUGUAUAAGUCAUGAAGAAAGCAAUAGCAACAUAUUAAAUGAUCGGGUGCUAAGCUAAUGGAGUGGGUCAUGUCAAUCAGAUCAUUCUCGUAAUGAUGUGAUCCCGUUAAUCAAAUAACAACUCAUUGUUCAUGGUUAGGAAACAUAACCAUCUUUGAUUAAUGAGCUAGUCAAGUAGAGGCAUACUAGUGACACUUUGUUUGUCUAUGUAUUCACACAUGUAUUAUGUUUCUGGUUAAUACAAUUCUAGCAUGAAUAAUAAACAUUUAUCAUGAUAUAAGGAAAUAAAUAAUAACUUUAUUAUUGCCUCUAGGGCAUAUUUCCUUCAGUCUCCCAGUUGCACUAGAGUCAAUAAUCUAGUUCACGUCGCCAUGUGAUUUAACUGCAAUAGUUCACAUCACCAUGUGAUUAACACCCAUAGUUCACAUCGAUAUGUGAUCAACACCCAAAGGGUUUACAAGAGUCAGUAAUCUAGUUCACAUCGCUAUGUGAUUAACACCCAAAGAGUACUAAGGUGUGAUCAUGUUUUGCUUGUGAGAUAAUUUUAGUCAACAGGUCUGUCACAUUCAGAUCCGUAAGUAUUUUGCGAAUUUCUAUGUCAACAAUGCUCUGCACGGAGCUACUCUAGCUUAUUGCUCCCACUUUCAAUAUGUAUCUAGAUCGAGACUUAGAGUCAUCCAGAUCUGUGUCAAAAGUUGCAUCGACGUAACUUUUUACGACGAACCUUUUUGUCACCUCCAUAAUUGAGAAAUAUUUCCUUAUUCCACUAAGGAUAAUUUUGACCGCUGUCCAGUGAUCUACUCUUAGAUCACUAUUGUAUUCCCUUGCUUAACAAAGUGUAGGGUAUACAAUAGAUCUGGUACACAUCAUGGCAUACUUUAUAGAACCUAUGACUGAGGCAUAGGGAAUGACUUUCAUUCUCUUUCUAUCUUCUGCCGUGGUCGGGCUUUGAGUCUUACUCAACUUCACACCUUGUAACACAGGCAAGAAACUUUUUCUUUGACUGUUCCAUUUUGAACUACUUCAAAAUCUUAUCAAGGUAUGUACUCAUUGAAAAAACUUAUCAAGCGUCUUGAUCUAUCUCUAUAGAUCUUGAUACUCAAUAUGUAAGUAGCUUUACCGAGGUCUUUCUUUGAAAAACUCCUUUCAAACACUCCUUUAUGCUUUGCAGAAUAAUUCUACAUUAUUUCCGAUCAACAAUAUGUCAUACACAUAUACUUAUCAGAAAUGAUGUAAUGCUCCCACUCACUUUCUUGUAAAUACAGGCUUCACCGCAAGUCUGUAUAAAACUAUAUGCUUUGAUCAACUUAUCAAAGCGUAUAUUCCAACUCCGAGAUUCUUGCACCAGUCCAUAGAUGGAUCACUGGAGCUUGCUUAUUUACUUAACACCUUUAGGAUCGACAAAACCUUCCAGUUGCAUCGUAUACAACUCUUCUUUAGUAAAUCCAUUAAGGAAUGCAGUUUUGUUAUCCAUUUGCCAGAUUUCAUAAAAUGUGGCAAUUGCUAACAUGAUUCGGACAGACUUAAGCAUAGAUACGAGUGAGAAAAUCUCAUCGUAGUCAACACCUUGAACUUGUCGAAAACCUUUUGCGACAAUUCUAGCUUUGUAGAUAGUAACACUACUAUCAGCGUCCGUCUUCCUCUUGAAGAUCCAUUUAUUUUCUAUGACUUGCCGAUCAUCGGGCAAGUCAACCAAAGUCCAUACUUUGUUCUCAUACAUGGAUCAUAUCUCAGAUUUCGUGGCCUCAAACCAUUUCGCGGAAUCUGGGCUCAUCAUCGCUUCCUCAUAGUUCGCAAGUUCGUCAUGGUCUAGUAACAUGACUUCCAGAACAGGAUUACCGUACCACUCUGGUGCGGAUCUCACUCUGGUUUACCUACGAGAUUUGGUAGUAACUUAAACUGAAGUUAAAUGAUCAUCAUCAUUAGCUUCCUCACUAAUUGGUGUAGUAGUCACAGGAACAGAUUUCUGUGAUGAACUACUUUCCAAUAAGGGAGAAGGUAUAGUUACCUCAUCAAGUUAUACUUUCCUCCCACUCACUUCUUUCGAGAGAAACUCCUUCUCUAGAAAAACUCCGAAUUUAGCAACAAAAGUCUUGCCUUCGGAUUUGUGAUAGAAGGUGUAUCCAAUAGUUUCCUUUGGAUAUCCUAUGAAGAUUUACUUCUCCGAUUUGGGUUCGAGCUUAUCAUCUUGAAACUUUUUUCACAUAAGCAUCGCAGUCCCAAACUUUAAGAAACGAGAACUUAGGUUUCUUGCCAAAACAUAGUUCAUAUGGUGUCGUCUCAACGGAUUUAGAUGGUGCCCUAUUUAACGUGAAUGCAACUGUCUCUAAUGCAUAACCCCAAAACGAUAGUGGUAGAUCAGUAAGAGACAUCAUAGAUUGCACUAUAUCCAAUAAAGUACGGUUAUGACGUUCGGACACACCAUUAUGCUGUGGUGUUCCAUGUGGCAUGAGUUUGUGAAACUAUUCCACAUUGUUUUAAUUGAAGACCAAACUCGUAACUCAAAUAUUUGUCUCCGAGAUCAGAUCGUAGAAACUUUAUUUUCUUGUCACGAUGAUUUUCCACUUCACUCUGAAAUUCUUUGAACUUUUCAAAUGUUUCAGACUUAUGUUUCAUCAAGUAGAUAUACCCAUAUCUGCUAAAAUCUCUAUGAAGUUCAGAAAAUAAUGAUACUUGCCGUGAGCCUUAACAAUCAUCGGAUCGUAUACAUCAAUAUGUAUUAUUUCCAAUAAGUCAGUUGCUCGCUCCGGAGAACGGAGUCUUAGUCAUCUUGCCCAUGAGGCAUGGUUCGCAAGCAUCAAGUGAUUCAUAAUCAAGUGAUUCCAAAAUCCCAUCAGCAUGGAGUUUCUUCAUGCGCUUUACAUCAAUAUGACCUAAACGGCAGUGCUACAAACAAGUUGCACUAUCAUUAUUAACUUUGCAUCUUUUGGUUUCAAUAUUAUGAUUAUGUGUAUCACUAUGAUCGAGAUCCAAUGAACUAUUUCAUUGGGUGUGUAACCAUAUAAGGUUUUAUUCAUGUAAACAGAAUAACAAUUUAUUCUCUUACUUAAAUGAAUAAUCGUAUUACAAUAAACAUGAUCAAAUCAUAUUCAUGCUUAACGCAAACACCAAAUAACACUUAUUCAGGUUCAACACUAAUCCUGAAAGUAUAGGGAGUGUGCGAUGAUGAUCAUAUCAAUCUUGGAACCACUUUCAACACACAUCGUCACUUUACCCUUAACUAGUCUCUGUUUAUUCUGCAACUCCCGUUUCGAGUUACUAAUCUUAGCAACUGAACUAGUAUCAAAUACUGAGGGGUUGCUAUAAACACUAGUAAAGUACACAUCAAUAGUAUGUAUAUCAAAUAUACUUAUGUUCACUUUGCCAUCCUUCUUAUCUGCCAAUUACUUGGGGUAGUUCCGCUUCCAGUGACCAGUCCCUUUGUAGUAGAAACACUUAGUCUUAGGCUUAGGACCAGACUUGGGCUUCUUCACUUGAGCAGCAACUUGCUUGCCGUUCUUCUUGAAGUUCCCCUUCUUCCCUUUGCCCUUUUCUUGAAACUAGUGAUCUUGUCAACCAUCAACAAUUGAUGCUCUUUCUUGAUUUCUAUCUUCAUCGAUUUCAUCAUCAUGAAAAGCUCGGGAUUCGUUUUCGUCAUCCCUUGCAUACUAUAGUUCAUCACGAAGUUCUACUAACUUGGUGAUGGUGACUAGAGAAUUCUGUCAAUCACUAUCUUAUCUGGAAGAUUAACUCCCACUUGAUUCAAGAGAUUGUUGUACUCAGACAAUCUGGGCACAUGCUCACUAGUUGAGCGAUUCUCCUCCAUCUUUUAGCUAUAGAACUUGUUGGAGACUUCAUAUCUCUCAACUCGGGUAUUUGCUUGAAAUAUUAUCUUCAACUCCUGGAACAUCUCAUAUGGUCCAUGACAUUCAAAACGUCUUUGAAGUCCCGAUUCUAAGCCGUUUAAGCAUGGUGCACUAAACUAUCAAGUAGUCAUCAUAUUUAGCUAGCCAAACGUUCAGAAUGUCAGCAUCUGCUCCUGCAAUAGGUAUAUCACCUAGCGGUGCAUCAAGGACAUAAUUCCUCUGUGCAGCAAUGAGGAUAAACCUCAGAUCACGGAUCCAAUCCGCAUCAUUGCUACUAACAUCUUUCAACACAAUUUUUCUCUAGGAUCAUAUCAAAAUAAACAUAUGAAAGUAAUAACGCGAGCUAUUGAUCUACAACAUAAUUUGCAAAAUACCACCAGGACUAAGUUCAUGAUAAAUUUAAGUUCAAUUAAUCAUAUUACUUAAGAACUCCCACUUAGAUAGACAUCCCUCUAAUCCUCUAAGUGAUAACGUCAUCCAAAUCAACUAAACCAUGUCCGAUCAUCACGUGAGAUGGAGUAGUUUCAUUGCUGAACAUCACUAUGUUGAUCAUAUCUACUAUAUGAUUCACGCUCAACCUUUCGGUCUCCGUGUUCCGAGGCCAUAUCUGUAUAUGCUUGGCUCGUCAAGUAUAACCUGAGUAUUCCGUGUGUGCAACUGUUUUGCACCCGUUGUAUUUGAACAUAGAACCUAUCACACCCGAUCAUCACGUGGUGUCUCAGCACGAAGAACUUUCGCAACGGUGCAUACUCAGGGAGAACACUUCUUGAUAAUUAGUGAGAGAUCAUCUUAUAAUGCUACCGUCAAUCAAAGCAAGAUAAGAUGCAUAAAAGGAUAAACAUCACAUGCAAUCAAUAUAAGUGAUAUGAUAUGGCCAUCAUCAUCUUGUGCUUGUGAUCUCCAUCUCCGAAGCACCGUCGUGAUCACCAUCAUCACCGGCGUGACACCUUGAUCUCCAUCGUAGCAUCGUUGUCGUCUCGCCAAGCUUGUGCUUCCACGACUAUCACUACCGCUUAGUAAUAAAGUAAAGCAUUACAUCGCGAUUUCAUUGCAUACAAUAAAACGACAACCAUAAGGCUCCUGCCAGUUGCCGAUAACUCGGUUACAAAACAUGAUCAUCUCAUACAAUAAAAUUCAGCAUCAUGUCUUGACCAUAUCACAUCACAACAUGCCCUGCAAAAACAAGUUAGACGUCCUCUACUUUGUUGUUGCAAGUUUUACGUGGCUGCUACGGGCUUAAGCAAGAACCAAUCUCACCUACGCAUCAAAACCACAACGAUAGUUUGUCAAAUAGACUCCGUUUUAACCUUCGCAAGGACCGGGCGUAGCCAUACUUGGUUCAACUAAAGUUGGAGAGACUGUCCCCCGCAAGCCACCUAUGUGCAAAGCACAUCGGGGGAACCAGUCUCGCGUAAGCGUACGCGUAAUGUUGGUCAGGUUCAUCUCGUCCAACAAUGCCGCCGAACCAAAGUAUGACAUGCUGGUAGGCAGUAUGACUUAUAUCGCCCACAACUCACUUGUGUUCUACUCGUGCAUAUAACAUCAACAUAAAUAACCUAGGCUCGGAUGCCACUGUUGGGUUUCGUAGUAAUUUCAAAAAAAUUCCUACGCACACGCAAGAUCAUGUGAUGCAUAGAAACGAAAGGAGAGAGUAUUGUCUACGUACCCACGCAGACCGACUGCGGAAGCAUUGACACAACAUAGAGGAAGUAGUCGUACGUCUUCACGAUCCAAACGAUCAAGCACCGAAACUACGGCACCUCCGAGUUCGAGCACACGUUCAGCUCGAUGACGAUCCCCGGACUCCGAUCCAGAAAAGUGUCGGGGAAGAGUUCCGUUAGCACGACGGCGUGGUGACGAUCUUGAUGUACUACAGCAGCAGGGCUUCGCCUAAACUCCGCUACAGUAUUAUCGAGGACUAUGGUGGCUGGGGGCACCGCACAUGGCUAAGGAAUAGAUCAUGUGGAUCAACUUGUGUGUUUCUGGGGUGCCUCUGCCUCAGUAUAUAAAGGGUUAGAGGGGGGAGGCUGGCCGGCCACAGGAGGCGCGCCAGGAGAGUCCUACUCCCUCUGGGAGUAGGAUUCCCCCCCAAUCCUAGUUGGAAUAGGACUCCUUGAGGGGGGAAAGAGAGAGAGGGGGCCGGCCACCUCUCCUAAUAGGACUAGGGGAAGGGGGAGGCGCACAGCCACCUUGGGCUGCCCCUUUCUCCUUUCCACUAAAGCCCACUAAGGCCCAUAUAGCUCCCGGGGGGUUCCGGUAACCUCCCGGUACUCCGGUAAAAUCCCGAUUUCACCCGGAACACUUCCGAUGUCCAAACAUAGGCUUCCAAUGUAUCAAUCUUUACAUCUCGACCAUUUCGAGACUCCUCGUCAUGUCCGUGAUCACAUCCGGGACUCCGAACAACCUUCGGUACAUCAAAAUGCAUAAACUCAUAAUAUAACUGUCAUCGUAACCUUAAGCGUGCGGACCCUACGGGUUCGAGAACAAUGUAGACAUGACCAAGACACGUCUCCGGUCAAUAACCAAUAGCGGGACCUGGAUGCCCAUAUUGGCUCCUACAUAUUCUACGAAGAUCUUUAUCGGUCAGACCGCAUAAGAACAUACAUUGUUCCCUUUGUCAUCGGUAUGUUAAUUGCCCGAGAUUCGAUCGCCGGUAUUCCAAUACCUAGUUCAAUCUCGUUGCCGGCAAGUCUCUUUACUUGUUCUGUAAUACAUCAUCCCGCAACUAACUCAUUAGUUGCAAUGCUUGCAAGGCUUAUGUGAUGUGCAUUACCGAGAGGGCCCAGAGAUACCUCUCCAACAAUCGGAGUGACAAAACCUAAUCUCGAAAUACGCCAACCCAACAUGUACCUUUGGAGACACCUGUAGUACUCCUUUAUAAUCACCCAGUAACGUUGUGACGUUUGGUAGUACCCAAAGUGUUCCUCCGGUAAAUGGGAGUUGCAUAAUCUCAUAGUUAUAGGAACAUGUAUAAGUCAUGAAGAAAGCAAUAACAACAUAUUAAACGAUCGGGUGGUAAGCUAAUGGAGUGGGUCAUGUCAAUCAGAUUAUUCUCUUAAUGAUGUGAUCCCGUUAAUCAAAUAACAACUCAUUGUUCAUGGUUAGGAAACAUAACCAUCUUUGAUUAACGAGCUAGUCAAGUAGAGGCAUAGUAGUGACACUUUGUUUGUCUAUGUAUUCACACAUGUAUUAUGUUUCUGGUUAAUACAAUUCUAGCAUGAAUAAUAAACAUUUAUCAUGAUAUAAGGAAAUAAAUAAUAACUUUAUUAUUGCCUCUAGGGCAUAUUUCCUUCACAACCGUAUCAUCAUAUUCUACCAGGCCCUUUGUUUGUUUCUAUGAGCUUGCCUCUGUGGCUAGCACAUAUCAUAUGUGAUCCAUGCUGUCUCUUUUCCGCCCACUUAAGCUUGGAUCAAAGUGGCAUAUUACUUUUGUGAUAACUAAGAGAACUGCGAGGCUUU